AAAAAAAAGAAAAAAAAUCAAUAUUUCCAAUAAGGUUUAAUUAGUACAUUCUCACUUUAGUACCUUGCGAUUUAAAGUGCAUCACUUUAGUGCUUUAUAAUUUGUUUUUUUCUCGUUCCGUUAUCCUUUUUGUUAAUUUGUCUGUUAAAUCAGUGAUAAAGUUAAAAUCACAUAAUACUAAAGUAAAAAGUUCGUAAAACUUAAAGAGUUAAUGAAGGAACUGACGAAAGAAAAAAAAAUAAAUAAAAUUAUAGAGUGCUAAAAUAAUACACUUAAAU
RNAcentral lists this long non-coding RNA (278 nucleotides) under Ananas comosus (pineapple). RNAcentral describes it as "long non-coding RNA (ACOM_LNC017556)". The record is from RNAcentral. Lineage: Eukaryota; Viridiplantae; Streptophyta; Magnoliopsida; Poales; Bromeliaceae.